AUACGUAGGUCCCGAACGUUGCGCGAAAUUACUGGGCGUAAAGGGUCCGUAGGCGGUCUGGUAAGUGGAAGGUGAAAGCCUGGGGCUCAACUCCAGAAUUGCCUUCCAAACUGCCGGACUUGAGGCAGGGAGAGGUCGGCGGAAUUCCCGGCGUAGCGGUGAAAUGCGUAGAUAUCGGGAGGAACACCAGUGGCGAAGGCGGCCGACUGGAACUGUCCUGACGCUGAGGGACAAAAGCCAGGGGAGCGAACCGGAUUAGAUACCCUAGUAGUCC
This 274-nucleotide ribosomal RNA is filed under the name uncultured bacterium. RNAcentral describes it as "partial 16S ribosomal RNA". It matches the Rfam family "Bacterial small subunit ribosomal RNA", at positions 523 to 796 of the family's 1533-position model. The record is from RNAcentral.